Molecule: ribosomal RNA, 468 nt
Filed under: Acanthamoeba genotype T4
Lineage: Eukaryota; Discosea; Longamoebia; Acanthamoebidae
Description: SSU rRNA
Rfam family: Eukaryotic small subunit ribosomal RNA
Source: RNAcentral
GGCCCAGAUCGUUUACCGUGAAAAAAUUAGAGUGUUCAAAGCAGGCAGAUCCAAUUUUCUGCCACCGAAUACAUUAGCAUGGGAUAAUGGAAUAGGACCCUGUCCUCCUAUUUUCAGUUGGUUUUGGCAGCGCGAGGACUAGGGUAAUGAUUAAUAGGGAUAGUUGGGGGCAUUAAUAUUUAAUUGUCAGAGGUGAAAUUCUUGGAUUUAUGAAAGAUUAACUUCUGCGAAAGCAUCUGCCAAGGAUGUUUUCAUUAAUCAAGAACGAAAGUUAGGGGAUCGAAGACGAUCAGAUACCGUCGUAGUCUUAACCAUAAACGAUGCCGACCAGCGAUUAGGAGACGUUGAAUACAAAACACCACCAUCGGCGCGGUCGUCCUUGGCGUUUUGUCAGCUUCACGGCUGGCGGGCGCGAGGGCGGUUUAGCCCGGUGGCACCGGUGAAUGACUCCCCUAGCAGCUUGUGAGA